UGUGUAGGCGGUGGCUUAAGUUUGGUGUGAAAUCUCCCGGCUCAACUGGGAGGGUGCGCCGAAUACUGAGUUGCUCGAGUGCGGGAGAGGAGAGUGGAAUUCCUGGUGUAGCGGUGAAAUGCGUAGAUAUCAGGAGGAACACCGGUGGUGUAGACGGCUCUCUGGACCGUAACUGACGCUGAGACACGAAAGCGUGGGUAGCAAACA
Molecule: ribosomal RNA, 207 nt
Filed under: uncultured bacterium
Lineage: Bacteria
Description: partial 16S ribosomal RNA
Rfam family: Bacterial small subunit ribosomal RNA
Source: RNAcentral